Molecule: ribosomal RNA, 538 nt
Filed under: Pedobacter cryoconitis
Lineage: Bacteria; Pseudomonadati; Bacteroidota; Sphingobacteriia; Sphingobacteriales; Sphingobacteriaceae
Description: bacterial SSU rRNA
Rfam family: Bacterial small subunit ribosomal RNA (bases 86-538)
Source: RNAcentral
UUUAAGUCUAUUCUGACAGACAAAUAAGAAUAAGACUAUUAUUAAUACAAGUUAAGAAUGGUCAGCGUUCAAACAACAACAUUUUACAAUGGAGAGUUUGAUCCUGGCUCAGGAUGAACGCUAGCGGCAGGCCUAAUACAUGCAAGUCGAACGAUACUCUUUAGCUUGCUAGAGAGGAAAGUGGCGCACGGGUGCGUAACGCGUAUGCAACCUACCUUAAUCAGGGGGAUAGCCCGAAGAAAUUCGGAUUAACACCGCAUAAAAUCACAGUACAGCAUUGUACAAUGAUCAAAUAUUUAUAGGAUUAAGAUGGGCAUGCGUGACAUUAGUUAGUUGGCGGGGUAACGGCCCACCAAGACCACGAUGUCUAGGGGAUCUGAGAGGAUGACCCCCCACACUGGUACUGAGACACGGACCAGACUCCUACGGGAGGCAGCAGUAAGGAAUAUUGGUCAAUGGAGGCAACUCUGAACCAGCCAUGCCGCGUGCAGGAAGACAGCCCUCUGGGUCGUAAACUGCUUUUAUUCGGGAAUAAACC